Molecule: long non-coding RNA, 258 nt
Filed under: Pan troglodytes (chimpanzee)
Lineage: Eukaryota; Metazoa; Chordata; Mammalia; Primates; Hominidae
Description: long non-coding RNA NONPTRT012693
Source: RNAcentral
CUGUGAAAGACAGAGGCAGAAAGAGGAAGUCACCUUGUGAUAAUCUGGUCAUUGGGAAAGGUACAGAGAGAAGUCGAGCUAUACUUCUUACAUUAAAUACAUUUUUAUGGAUGUUUGAUGAGGGGCCAGAAAGUGUUACCCAAUGAACCUCCAUGGUACCAAAUACAAUCAAGCUUGUCCCAGAAGAUUCCAGAACCAUUUGGUUUUCUGUCACCACUGAAAUCAACCUUUCCUUCGUGGUGCAUAAAAAAACAACUC